RNAcentral lists this ribosomal RNA (449 nucleotides) under uncultured bacterium. RNAcentral's name for it is "partial 16S ribosomal RNA". It matches the Rfam family "Bacterial small subunit ribosomal RNA", at positions 29 to 523 of the family's 1533-position model. The record is from RNAcentral.
AGCGAACGCUGGCGGCAGGCCUAACACAUGCAAGUCGAACGAACUCUUCGGAGUUAGUGGCGGACGGGUGAGUAACACGUGGGAGCGUGCCUUUAGGUUCGGAAUAACUCAGGGAAACUUGUGCUAAUACCGAAUGUGCCCUUCGGGGGAAAGAUUUAUCGCCUUUAGAGCGGCCCGCGUCUGAUUAGCUAGUUGGUGAGGUAAAGGCUAACCAAGGCGACGAGCAGUAGCGGGUCUGAGAGGAUGAUCAGCCACAUUGGGACUGAGACACGGCCCAAACUCCUACGGGAGGCAGCAGUGGGGAAUCUUGCGCAAUGGGCGAAAGCCUGACGCAGCCAUGCCGCGUGAAUGAUGAAGGUCUUAGGAUUGUAAAAUUCUUUCACCGGGGACGAUAAUGACGGUACCCGGAGAAGAAGCCCCGGCUAACUUCGUGCCAGCCGCCGCAGUAA